AUUGAACGCUGGCGGCAUGCUUUACACAUGCAAGUCGAACGGCAGCGCGGGCUUCGGCCUGGCGGCGAGUGGCGAACGGGUGAGUAAUGCAUCGGAACGUGCCCAGGAGUGGGGGAUAGCCCGGCGAAAGCCGGAUUAAUACCGCAUACGACCUGAGGGUGAAAGCGGGGGACCGAAAGGCCUCGCGCUAUUGGAGCGGCCGAUGUCGGAUUAGAUAGGUGGUGGGGUAAAGGCUUACCAAGGCGACGAUCCGUAGCUGGUCUGAGAGGACGACCAGCCACACUGGGACUGAGACACGGCCCAGACUCCUACGGGAGGCCGCAGCGGGGAAUUUUGGACAAUGGGGGCAACCCUGAUCCAGCCAUGCCGCGUGCGGCAAGAAGGCCUUCGGGUUGUAAACCGCUUUUGUUCGGGAAGAAAUACUCUGCGCUAAUACCCCGGGGGGAUGACGGUACCGGAAGAAUAAGCACCGGCUAACUACGUG
Molecule: ribosomal RNA, 484 nt
Filed under: uncultured bacterium
Lineage: Bacteria
Description: partial 16S ribosomal RNA
Rfam family: Bacterial small subunit ribosomal RNA
Source: RNAcentral